CUAGAAAUGGCCUUAAUGUCCACUCAACUCUUCUGCCAACGUGAAGCAGCUGGACACAAUCUGGCCUCUACCUUUGGAAAGGUAAAAAAAAAAAAAAGCCUUGUUACUGUAUGUAAGACUUGAUAUAUGCUGAGUUGCUGGGAUACUUUAGUGACCCUUUUCAUUCUUUCUCAAUUUUCUAACAGUGUGGGACUUUGUGCCACAGCAUCUAAAGAGCAGAAAAUGCAUCUCAGAGAGGGGGUAGAAAGAAAAAGCUACCACAGAUCCUGCUGUGGGAACUCCAACAGGUUGAACAGACCACCUCCUUAAGUUUCUUUGGCAGUCCUGCAGAAAUUGUGCUGGAGAGCUGGAGAUCACUGUGUGAGAAAUGAGCCUGAGAUCCGGAGUCACAGUGCUCCCACUUGGUAUGACACCCUAUCAUCCUGUAAACAACAGGACACCCACCACAGAAUGCUGCCUAAAUGGGCAAGUUUCCAUGAUGGUGGCGAUGUCGCCAGCAGAAUGCACGCUGGGGUGUCACAACAAGCAGGAGCUGGUGAUCAGCAGUGGAUCUAAGUCAACAAGACAUGUAGAAAAUUGA
Molecule: long non-coding RNA, 580 nt
Filed under: Crocodylus porosus (Australian saltwater crocodile)
Lineage: Eukaryota; Metazoa; Chordata; Crocodylia; Crocodylidae
Description: lncRNA (ENSCPRG00005014447.1)
Source: RNAcentral